AAUUUGGAUCUUCAACAGUUGC
Molecule: non-coding RNA, 22 nt
Filed under: Arabidopsis thaliana (thale cress)
Lineage: Eukaryota; Viridiplantae; Streptophyta; Magnoliopsida; Brassicales; Brassicaceae
Source: RNAcentral